GUGGGGAAUCUUAGACAAUGGGCGCAAGCCUGAUCUAGCCAUGCCGCGUGAUCGAUGAAGGCCUUAGGGUUGUAAAGAUCUUUCAGUGGGGAAGAUAAUGACGGUACCCACAGAAGAAGCCCCGGCUAACUUCGUGCCAGCAGCCGCGGUAAUACGAAGGGGGCUAGCGUUGUUCGGAUUUACUGGGCGUAAAGCGCACGUAGGCGGAUUGUUAAGUCGAGGGUGAAAUCCCAGGGCUCAACCCUGGAACUGCCUUCGAUACUGGCAAUCUUGAGUCCGGAAGAGGUGAGUGGAACUCCUAGUGUAGAGGUGGAAUUCGUAGAUAUUAGGAAGAACACCAGUGGCGAAGGCGGCUCACUGGUCCGGUACUGACGCUGAGGUGCGAAAGCGUGGGGAGCAAACAGGAUUAGAAACCCCAGUAGUCC
This 425-nucleotide ribosomal RNA is filed under the name uncultured bacterium. Its description in RNAcentral is "partial 16S ribosomal RNA". It matches the Rfam family "Bacterial small subunit ribosomal RNA", at positions 354 to 796 of the family's 1533-position model. The record is from RNAcentral.